AUGAUAUGCGCGGAGCUCAGACAGGCGCUAUCCCCCCUGUUGGCACAGUCGGUCAGCAGGAAUCCCCCUCAAAAGCAAAGGAAGCCAAGGCAGAAGCGGGUGCCGGUUUCCUCCCCACAUCGAAGUGUCAGGGCGGCCAAGGGUGGGCGAGCGUCGAAGGCUUCCAAGCAGCAGGCGGUACUCAUCAGGAAACUGUGCCUUGCGCAUGAGGGAGAUGUGAUCUCGGAUGAGGCUCUUCAAGCCUACGUUGACUUGUUUGACAAGCCACUGGUGGAGAGUCACGUGAAGGCAAUUCUGGCCUUGUUCGGUUGGGAUUCGGAAGCGUUGCCGCUGGUGGGAGAGGAGGACGGGGUGAUGGUUGGGUUGUAG
This 369-nucleotide ribosomal RNA is filed under the name Triticum aestivum (bread wheat). RNAcentral describes it as "partial small subunit ribosomal RNA". The record is from RNAcentral. Lineage: Eukaryota; Viridiplantae; Streptophyta; Magnoliopsida; Poales; Poaceae.